This 274-nucleotide ribosomal RNA is filed under the name uncultured bacterium. RNAcentral describes it as "partial 16S ribosomal RNA". It matches the Rfam family "Archaeal small subunit ribosomal RNA", at positions 473 to 747 of the family's 1478-position model. The record is from RNAcentral.
AAACCAGCACCUCAAGUGGUCAGGAUGAUUAUUGGGCCUAAAGCAUCCGUAGCCUGCUUUGUCAGUUUUCGGUUAAAUCCAUACGCUCAACGUAUGGGCUGCCGGGAAUACUGCAAAACUAGGGAGUGGGAGAGGUAGACGGUACUCGGGAGGAAGGGGUAAAAUCCUUUGAUCUCUCGAUGACCACCUGUGGCGAAGGCGGUCUACCAGAACACGUCCGACGGUGAGGGAUGAAAGCUGGGGGAGCAAACCGGAUUAGAUACCCCAGUAGUCC